This is an RNA transcript of Piliocolobus tephrosceles (Ugandan red Colobus), 413 nucleotides long. It is a transcript of the gene named 40S ribosomal protein S24 pseudogene, with no coding region annotated. Lineage: Eukaryota; Metazoa; Chordata; Mammalia; Primates; Cercopithecidae. The record is from RefSeq and is a predicted model, not a curated record. The transcript has a single exon.
UAGACCACCACCAUGAACGACACCAUAACUAUCCGCACUAGAAAGUUCAUGACCAACCGACUACUUCAGAGGAAACAAAUGGUCAUUGAUGUCCUUCACCCCGGGAAGGCAACAGUGCCUAAGACAGAAAUUCGGGAAAAACUAGCCAAAAUGUACAAGAUCACACCGAGAGUCAUCUUUGUAUUUGGAUUCAGAACUCAUUUUGGUGGUGGAAAGACAACUGGCUUUGGCAUGAUUUAUGACACCUGUAUUAUGCAAAGAAAAAUGAACCCAAACUUAGACUUGCAAGACAUGGCCUGUAUGAGAAGAAAAAGACCUCAAGAAAGCAAUGAAAGGAACACAAGAACAGAAUGAAGAAAGUCAGGGGGACUGCAAAAGCCAAUGUUGGUGCUUGCAAAAAACCGAAGGAGUAA